RNAcentral lists this ribosomal RNA (255 nucleotides) under uncultured bacterium. RNAcentral's name for it is "partial 16S ribosomal RNA". It matches the Rfam family "Bacterial small subunit ribosomal RNA", at positions 524 to 777 of the family's 1533-position model. The record is from RNAcentral.
UACGUAGGGUGCGAGCGCUGUCCGGAAUUACUGGGCGUAAAGAGCUCGUAGGUGGUUUGUCGCGUUGUUCGUGAAAACUCACAGCUCAACUGUGGGCGUGCGGGCGAUACGGGCAGACUGGAGUACUGCAGGGGAGACUGGAAUUCCUGGUGGUAGCGGUGGAAUGCGCAGAUAUCAGGAGGAACACCGGUGGCGAAGGCGGGUCUCUGGGCAGUAACUGACGCUGGGGAGCGAAAGCGUGGGGAGCGAACGAGG